ACCAUCCUUUUCUUGGGGUUGCGCUACUGUCCAAUGAGCGUCUAGCGAGGACAGUACUGCUAACACCUGAACAACACACCCGCAUCUACUAGAGCUUUGCUCUACCACGGUGCAAUUUUUGGAAAA
This is a small nuclear RNA of Manis pentadactyla (Chinese pangolin), 126 nucleotides long. RefSeq annotates it as U4atac minor spliceosomal RNA. The record is from RefSeq and is a predicted model, not a curated record. The transcript has a single exon. Lineage: Eukaryota; Metazoa; Chordata; Mammalia; Pholidota; Manidae.